RNAcentral lists this long non-coding RNA (2250 nucleotides) under Brassica napus (rape). RNAcentral describes it as "long non-coding RNA (BNAP_LNC016866)". The record is from RNAcentral. Lineage: Eukaryota; Viridiplantae; Streptophyta; Magnoliopsida; Brassicales; Brassicaceae.
UCUGUCCACAUGUAACACGCAGAGCUGCUUCAGAUUCAUUGUAAGUGUCACAUGCCUCCGGGUGGCAAGUUCUGGCACAAGCAUGCAUGCCACAACGCCUCGUCUUUCCACAAAUCUUGUUACAUCUGAUGUCUUUCAGCCCACAAGGUAUGUUUCUCAGAACCACGUGACCACCAACGCAUUUCUUUUCCACUGGGGCAGAACAAGGAGGGCAAUCUCCAAAAUGGCAUCCAUGCGUAGCAGAAUGGCCACAAGGCUGAGGAAUGGAGCAUGGAAGCUGGCAGCUAGGAACAGGCGUCCCGCAUGGUAGUGGUGGAGGAAUCGAAGUAUUUCCACACGCACAUGUUAGAUCAGUGAAUAUCAUCUCGAGGCAAGGAGGGCAAUGGCCACUAUGGCACAAAGAUUCACAGGAAUGCUGCCCGCACCUUAGCUUCUUCCCACAAGGUAAUUGGCAUACGUGUUCGUCCCAAUCACCGGAUAGAUCAUUCUUCUUCGCGUUCAAGAGAGGGCAGCAACGCUCACUACAUCUAUGUCUCCCACAAUUCUUCUUACGCCCACAUGGUUUAGAACACACAAACUUAUCCGUCUCUGAAGAAGUUGUUAUGUAGCAUUCCACAGUCCUGGAUGUCGAACCACACCGGCAUUUCUGGUUGACUUGCACUAAACAAGGAGGGCAAUCACCUGAAUGGCACAACUCGUUGCAAGUAUGUAAUCCACAAGGAAGAAGCUUACUGCAUAGGUUUGAGCAAGAAGGAAUUGGGUCCAAGCAACUCUGCCUGGUCUGUUCUUCUAGACGCGUUUUCCCACAAUAGCACGUCUUAACUCUACUCGUUGCUGAUCUCCACGCAGCGGCUUGAAUAUCUGUAGAUGAUCCUCCAAUGGGGGAAUCUUCAGCUCCCCAGUUCUCAUCACUCUCCUGAAUCACUGCUUUCUUCCAUGGAUUUGCUUUCUGUACAUCCCAGGAUGAGCUGCUAGGUAGUUUUCCCCAUGCAUUACCACCGAGUGAUGGAGAUUGCUGACCGUUCUGGACGACCACUGCUCCAUGGUAUACAGAACCGUGGUCCAGCCUCCUCAUGGCAGUGGCGGCUCGGGCAUGGUCGUGGAACACGGCCAAAGCGUUCUUGUCAUUCAGCCAAACAAGCUCACAUUCACCUCCAAAUCUCAGCACCAAAGCGCUGAUAUUCGCCUCCCUCGGGAGAUCCAGUAAUGACACCACCAGCCUAGGAUCCAUAUCCACCAGCGGAUCAAAGGACGGUGGGUGAGGCCCGCCUAGCGAGACAGCGCCACCCCUAGCUCCAAUGAUUCGUGUUGGCGGUUUUGACUUUUGUGUUACGUGGACCACUGUAAACCGUUUUGGCUCCCACCCUGCAUUGCUAACCGCAAGUUUCCAUCUCUCAGCUAGAAGUCUAACCGUGUCUCGUUUAUCCUUUUGCAUCGGGCAGAAUACAUGGACCUUAAGGGUGCUUGUGCUUCCUCUAGCCUUCCCAAGUACCAGGUACUUGAAGCGCUCUUCAACAGCCAGUACCCACUUAGGAUCACGCCUAUAGAUGUCCGAAAUAAUCUCUGUCAUAGCAGCAUUCUCGCUAAAAUGUAAAGAGUCCAGAUUUGGGGGAGUGAUAUCAAACGCGUCUUGAAGAACACGCUUACGCUCCAGUUUAGCACACUCAUCAUCACACGAAAGCUUUCGCUGCCCGAGAGGGAUUCGGCUUCCAUUCGACUCAACAGGCUGAAGCGAAGUUGGAAGCUUCUGCAAAACAGAGGCUUCAUAGAUAGAAUCAACACUAAGAUUGCUGGUACUUCCUCCUCCCGCAUCGCAAGGAACAGUAGCGGUUAUGCGACCACACGAACAUGUUAUUGUGACUGGAAAUUCACAUCUUGUGUCAGGGCAAGGCUGCGAAGGAUGGCAAAGAGCUGCACAAGUGUGCCUGCAAUCUCUUCUAGGAGCACUACAAGUCUGUCCACAUGUAACACGCAGAGCUGCUUCAGAUUCAUUGUAAGUGUCACAUGCCUCCGGGUGGCAAGUUCUGGCACAAGCAUGCAUGCCACAACGCCUCGUCUUUCCACAAAUCUUGUUACAUCUGAUGUCUUUCAGCCCACAAGGUAUGUUUCUCAGAACCACGUGACCACCAACGCAUUUCUUUUCCACUGGGGCAGAACAAGGAGGGCAAUCUCCAAAAUGGCAUCCAUGCGUAGCAGAAUGGCCACAAGGCUGAGGAAUGGAGCAUGGAAGCUGGCAGCUAGGAACAGGCG